RNAcentral lists this long non-coding RNA (13899 nucleotides) under Nicotiana tabacum (common tobacco). Its description in RNAcentral is "long non-coding RNA (NTAB_LNC015861)". The record is from RNAcentral. Lineage: Eukaryota; Viridiplantae; Streptophyta; Magnoliopsida; Solanales; Solanaceae.
UGACCUAACAGUUAUAAUAGCAGAAUGUAAAAUAUAGAAAGUAAGUGCAGGAAUUAAAGACACCAGAAUUUUAUACUGGUUCAGAUUCAAUGUGAAUCCUAGUCUAGUCCCCUUGGGUUGCAAGGGAGUUCUCUUUAGUAAAUGUGUUUCUCCGAGCACUAUGAAAAUGACUUGGUAGCUCUGUUCCUAUAAUACUCGUCUCUUUUGAUACAAUGCCUCACCAGUAUUGUACUCUUUUUUUCCCUGACUUGUUACACAACAGAUCUUAGAGAACUACAGUGUUUGUUUGCAGUAGAACAAAGAGAGAAUUUUUUUGGUUCGAUCAAAGUAUGUUUGUCUAAGGCUUGAAGCUGAGUAUAAAUACUUUGGUGAAGAUCGUUUGUUGACGGAGGCUUGACAACCCAAGAGAUUUGAUCAUUGGAAAGAGAUUGAUUCUUUCCAAGAAAUAAGAUUGCUUGCCAGUUGCUCUUCCUUGACAGCUUUCCUUCUACAGUUGUUUAUGAUGAAGGUUUACUCCUUGAUUGUUGGUCCUUCCAAAAAUAGCUGCUCAGCUACUCUUCACAGAAUCUUCGAUCUUCCGGAUUUGAAUGUGCUGGUCUUGAUUAAUGUCUUAAGUUAAGCUUGCUUGAUUCUUUCCAUCACAGCUCUCCGUAACCUUUGCUGAUUGAUUUCUUUCCUUAAGCAUCCAGAUUUGCUGAUUGAAUCGUAAUCUUUGCUAAUUGAUUUCUUUCCUUAAGCAUCAAGAUUGACUUUAGCAAUCUUGUAGUAGCUCCUUGAUUCCUUGUUCUUUUGUAAUUGAUUUCCUGCACAAAUAUAUUAUUUGCAUCAUUAAAACUAGAUCUAACAUUCCAUACUUCAUAAACCAUAGAUCAAUCCUAAAUGCCCAAUCAAUCAAUCUGUAGAUUCUCUCAUUUGCCUCUCUUUUGUUACUCCAUGAGUAGGUACAACCUUUUCUUAAAUAAAUAAAAAUAUUAUUAUAGUACUUUUUUUAAUGUUAUAGAUAGAGUAUUUUUUUUUCAUUUUAACAAAUGAGAAUUUUUUCUUGUCAUAAAAUAAAUAAAGUAUUUUUUUUAUAUUUUAACAAAAAAAGUACUUUCUUUUUAUGAUGUUGAAAAAGUAUUUCCUUUCAUUUCAAUAAAAUGAGUACUUUAUUUUCAUGUUGUAGAAAGAGUAUUUUCUUUUUCAACCAAAAAAAGGUUUUUUUCAUUUUAGUUAUGGAGCACAAAUUUCAACAUUAUUUUUGUAGAAAAAAGUAAAGCAACACAUUAGUUCUUUCGGGUGUAUUUGAAUUUUUUUAAAAAUAAUUAAAUUCUUAAAGAAAAUACAUUCCUGAUAAUUAACGUUGGGUAUUUCGGAGGUGGGGGGAAAUGACAAAAAACAUGGGAACUUGGGAGAAGAAGGGUGAGGAAUGUAACAUAAUAAAUUAUUUUCCUAAAAAAUAUUUUCUACUUCCUAACCAAACACUAGAAAAUAUUUCCCGAAAAAGUUUCACUUACCAACCAAACAAGAGAAAACAUUUUCCUUCAUAACAAACACACCCUAAAUUUAAUAAGACAUAGGUGUUAACCUUGAAGAUUAGGUUUAAAAUACGAUAUAGAGAUAAAAAAUUACUACGUAUUUCUUUUUAUCUACUUAAAUUAUAUAUGAUGAACAUAAUUACACAUUAUUUUCACCGAUGAAAAUGACAGAUAUCCAGUAAAAUAUUCGAAAUAAAGACUUAUGUAGUAAUUACUAAUUACUAGCGUGAGUCUUUUGCAAUGCAGAAGAUCAUGUCCCCUCCAACAUAUAAUAUUACUAUUUCUGUUUUUAAUGAACAGUAGUGGUCCGUACGUCUAACCCUACUCUGAGAGUGAUUUUUUAUAUUUAUUUUUUUUAAAUAAAGAAGACAUGUUAUAAAAGCACACUUCUAACAGUAAAAUAGUGGCCUUUUUAAUUCCCAUCCUCUUAUUUUUUCUGAACCAGAUGCCAUUCCAAAAACAUUAGCUAGUAUAUAUACUGAAUCUUUUGACUCGGACAAAGAAAGCAUACAAUUGCAUUAUCCCAUAUCAGUCCACAAACUAAUCGACAACUCGAACAACUUUUUUCCUGAUAUGAACAAUCAGUACUGUUCUAUCAUGUAUGUUCAGAAUCAAGAAAAAUUUCAUAUAUAUUUUACCUAUGUACAUUGAUCACUACCAUAUUUCGUCAUAUUCCAUUUUUGACAUCCACCCUCUUCUUGUAAAUUGUUCUAUGUACCACUUACUACAGAGCUAUAGUCCCAUCAAAGGUCAAACUUGACUAAAUUGGAAAUAAGCAUCAGUAUCAAUUCAUUAGCAUCAAUGAACCCCAAUAUAGAAAAUUAUAGGCGAGACAAGGAUUUGAAGUUUAUAGAGUUAAAAUUUGUCACAGAAUUCAUAAUAACAACAACCCAGUAUAAUCCCACUUAGUGGGGUUUGGGGAGGGUAGUGUGUACGCAGACCUUACCUCUACCCUGGGGUAGGGAGGUUGUUUCCAAAUAAAUCAUCGGCAUCCUUCUCUCCAAGAACUUCCCACCUUGCUCUUGGGGAGACUCGAACUCACAACCUCUUGGUUGGAAGUGGAGGUUGGUUACCAUCAAAGCAACCCCUCUUGUUUAAAUAUUAACAACAUAUACCCAGUGUAAUCUCAGGAAGUAGGGUUUUGGGCAUGGUAGCAUGUACGCUGACCUAAUCCUGACCUUUGUAAAGGUAGAAAGUUGUUAUCAAUAGACGCACCCUCGACUCAAAGAAAAGUUAAAAAGAGACAGAUCAACAAUAAAUAAUAACAACAACAAAAUAAUGAAUUUUUUAAUAACAAAUACAAAAACUACUAAGUUUGUCCGAACCUGCAAAUAAUCGUCUAGCUUAAUUCGUCUAUGUAUGGGAUAAAGAUAAGCGAAUUAAGCUGUGGGGUUUUGACACGUUCUGUGGAAUUUAAAAGGAUGAGUAUAUCAUUCAUCAACGGUCCACCGUCCCACUUACAUAUCUGUUCCUUCCCCUACUGAUCACUGCUUUUUGUGAAAGCAGAAAAACGGCUUUAUUUGGAUGGAUAAGACUUGUGUGUUGAGGAUUGCUUUGGCAUAAUUCCGGCUCAGCUUCUCCAUGUUUCUUGGCAAGUUGCAGUUUGUUUUGACUUUAUUGUAAGGCUAAUUUUGUCAUUUCACAAGUCAGUCUCCGUAUUUACGCAGGGUUUAGAGAAGGGUGUACCCAAGGGGUGUGAUGCACGCUUAUCGAAGCGGUGUCACGUGGUACUGCUUCGUCGGAAAAUUGUACUAAAUAUGUGUAUUAUUACUGUACGGAAACGGAUAAGUAAAAAAUAAUAAUACCACUUGACAUAAAUUGUGUCUUGGUGUGUUGGUUUUGCUCUAGAAGGUCAGAGGUUCAAACCUCAACUUGCGCAUUUUUCUUUUGCAAAUAUUUGAGAGAGCCGUUAUGAUUAAAAAUUGUGAUGAAGUGAAAUUGAACUUAGGAUCUUUUCCAACUUAAGACUCAACAAAACCAAUGAACUAAGGCUAUUUCUUCUCUAAAAGUAUGAUACUCAAAGUUAUAUCUCAAUUCUUCUAUAAAUUUCGACACCGCUUACAAAAAUUCCUGCGUACACCCAUAGUGAUGCAGACAACCUAACCUAAUGCAAGUAUUAGUAGCUGCUUUCACGGCUCAAACACGUAACCUAUAUGACAUACGAAGACAAAAAAUUAGCCGAAACUAUAUCAUGAAGAAACAACCUCUCUAACUUCACAAGGUAAAGAGUACGAUUAAGUUUGCAUACACACUACCCUUCUAGACCCCACAAGAGUUUGUAUACACAUUAUCUUUCUCAAACUACGCUUAUGAAAUUACAUUGGAAUCGUUCUUGUUGUUGUAUUUGUUUCUGGUUCGAAUUCCUGUGGAGCAAUGACGUUAGGUUAUCUAAAUUCCAUAUAUUGGUACUUGUUGAUUUUCAAUGGAGCCUCAUGGGACAUUUAAUCAUUUGUUUAAUUAAUAAAAACCAUCUAAGGUGGCUAAAUUAAAUUUAUUAAACUAAAAGAAAAUAAUAUGACAUCGCAGGAAACUAAUAGCCUGUUUGGCCAAGCUUCUCAAGAGGCUAAAAGUGCUUUUUUUCCCAAAAACAUUUUUUUUCCCUAACUUGAGGUGUUUGACCAAGUUUAUUUGGAGAAAAAAGUGUUUUUGGGAAGAAGUAGAAGCAGUUUCAGAGAAGCAAAAAAAAGUAGUUUCUUUCCAAAAGCAGAAGCAGUUUUGGCUUUUCUUCUUACCUAAAAUACCCUUAACAAAAUAUAGUAUAUACCAAAAUAACCCUUAAACAUAAUACUUAGGAUAUUAAUUUAUAAAUAUUUCUUCUUAUUUUUAGGAAAACUUUUUAAUAUAUAAUGACUUUAGGGAUGAAUGCUUUAUAUUUGUUGAAGGAAUUUUAAUAUAUUUAACUUUAAUAUUUUUUUUCGGAAAAUAUUUUCUAGGGAUGAGAUUAUUUAUUUACUUAUAAUAUUAAUUAUUAAGUAAAUCUAUUCAUGUCCUUAUUCGUAAUUUGACACUUAAAAGCACUUUCUAAAAAGCUUGGCCAAACACAAAUUAUUUCUCAUAGUACUAUUCAGACUGAUUAGCCAAACACAAACUGCUUCUCUAUAAAAAUACCUUUUUCAAAAGCACUUUUGAAAAAAACACUUCUCAAAAUAAGAUGAUUUUUCCAGCUUGGCCAAACAGGCUAUUAGUCGAAACCCCUAAACAUCAAUCUUUGAACAAGGCGGGAGACCCUUAAUUCUCUUUAAAUUGACUUAUACCAAACACCAAGCUCAUAUUUUCUAGUGCUUCCUCUAUUUGGGACAUCAAAUGUCAUAUCAAAAUGUGGAACGUUGACUGCAAUAUUUUUUUAAUUAUCUUAUAGUAUAUACUAACAAUGUCUCAGGUUACUAAUUCCACUUAAUUAACUUAAUUAAUAUAGACAGUUACAUAUAAUUAUUUUUAAGUGACCCGGUGAUAUAAACAUUCCAUUGCAAGUACAUAUAUGUUAAACUCUAAAAAGUUGAACUAAUUAUUCGUAUUACUAGGAGCUCGUUAUGUUAAAUUGUGGCAAACGUGCCAAGUGACCUCCCUAUCACCCUUAACUUAGAAAAUCCAAGGUUUUCACAAGUAACUGUCAUUAGAUUCAAAUUGCAGAAAAUCAACUAGCAGAUACCCUAACAAAAAGAAGCCUAAAUUGUAACGUGGAUAGAAAAUUUCCUGCCUCUUUUCUGUGAAAAUAUAUGUAGACACCUAAAUGGGGUAAUUGUGAAAUUGACAUUUGCUUGCAACCCCAGUAUUUCCAAAGUUAACUGCUACUACUUGAUAGAGAAAAAAGCAUAUGACAUAUAAUAUUUAUGUAUCGCCAAAAGAUAGAAAUGCAUGUCAGAAUUGUUAUUGAAGUCAUAACAUCAUGUAGGUCAAUACCAUAGAAAGCACAUGCUUUGUUGCAGGCUAUAUAGUCAGAGGCGAAUGUAGAGUUGUAACGCUGGGUUCAACUGAGUCCAGUACUUCCGGAAGCAUAAAUUUAUGUGUAAAAAAAUCAUUAAAAUUGUGAUAAAUAGUAGGUUUGAACCAUAAUUUUAAAAAUACAAUGGGUUCAUGACAAAAUCUUUUUAGGAUUGAACCCAUGGAGCUUAAAUACUGCAUUUGCCCCUGUAUAUAGCUCCCACUUGCCAAGUUGCUUGCUUUCAAGAUCUUAACACAUGAUACUACUAUCUAGUGAUGGCAAAACGGAUAAAAAUAAUAAUUAUCCAUUUAUGCUAUUCUCUAAAAAACAGAUUGGAUAAUAAAUUUUUUAAAAUGGUUCAAUAUUAAUAAGAUCCGUAUUAACCACUUAAAAAAAUAGAUACUUAACGGAUAACCAAUGUGUGUGGCUUUUUAAAUAAAUUUUCGCUUUGUGGAUAAUUAAUGUGUUUAAUUUUUACAUUUGUAAAAACUUAAAUAGGGGGUUCCUCUAAUUUGGAAGACUAAAAAUUCUCUCAAAAGUGAUCUCGUAUGUUCCCCUCCAAUGUACUAAUCUCAUAUUAAUAUAGGAGGUAAGGGAUAAUGCCAAAACCCCAUCACCACAGGUCAACAAGCCUGGGUGACGUGAAUGGCUUCCAAAAAAAAAGUGAUCUACAAGAAGCUAGGGAUAAUAUAGAUACCCAUAUUAUCCACCGGUUAGCCCAUUUUCUAUCCGCAUCAAAUAAGGACGCGUCAGAUAUUUUAUUCGUUUUUAUAUUACCCAUUUUAAACUCGCCCAUAUCCUACCUGACCCGCCAGUUUACCACCCCUGCUACUACCUACCAACUGCACCUUAUCUCCAUCUUUAUAAAGAGAAUUGAGGCUCCAUUAUUUCUCUCAAUUUUGAGUCAUAGAUGUUUUGGACUAAGAGGGGAAGGCAGCAGUAUUGAACUUACUAUGGACCACUUGGUUUACCAGAUUUGAUCACAAUACCUGUAUGCUGGCAGAUAUAGCUCGCUAGAGUCUCAUGACCUUCAUAAUGUUUAGCACUCCUAAUUUUUAAAGGAUUUAAGUUAUAUAUAUACACAAAUAUAAAAAAUCUGUAUACUAUCAUUUGCAAUUUAAUGACAUAUCGAAGGUUAUUAUUCUUAUUUUUAGAUUAUAUAUCAUGUCAAGAAUGGAGCUUGAAGAUUAGUUAUGGGUUCGACCAAUCAAUCCCAGUAGCAUUAGUCCAAACUCUAUAUUUCUAACUUCAAAACCGAGGAAUCGAUCCAUAUUCUUUUGCAUAAAUAAUUCGACAUUCAAUCAGGUGUACCAUCUAAUCAUUUUGAAGUAUAGGAGCCACCAGAUAAUAUUAGAUGAAUUUUUACACAAAGUAUACCUAGUUUGGUGGAAGGACUAACACCUGAAACCAUUAUCCUAAAGUUUAAAACUCAUAAAGCAUGUGCAUCAAGUUUAUUAUGAAGAAUCACUUAUUAAUGCUGUGAACUUUACCUAAUGGUGUAAAUCUUUUUACUUUUUCAAGUAUAAAUUCGCUCUUUAAGUGGCAUAGGCCUUCUAUAUCACUGUAAGGGGUCGUUUGGUUAGGAAAUGAUUAAUUAUUUCAAGAUUAGUUAUACUAUGAUUUUAUCUCAAUCAAGCAUGAGAUAAAUUCGUUAUAAAUUUAAUUCCGCAAUUAAUUAUCCUUUAUCUCUCGUACCAAACUAGCCAUAAAAGUUUUAUGUGCAAUCAGAAUUUGUACUCAUUUUCUAAUGCAUGAAAAACUAAACGCAGCCUGAGAAAAGAAUGGGUGGCUAAAAAAAGGAAAAACCAUAAAUAAAGAGAAGUGUGAUAAAAAUCUUGAAAGAUAUGGAGAAUUUUGCCCACGAGCUCAUGGUCAAGAGUACAAAUCAAAUAAAGCUGCAGUAGGAUCUUUUAGAAGGAGAACUGUGGGCGGUAAAAUGAAUGAUAUGCAGAUGAAUGGUUCAACUUGUAGGAUCCAGGCCAGACAGUACUUACCAAUUAAAAUCACGCGCAGAAGAUACUGAUAACCACCAAGAUCUUGAAUGAUUGGAAAAAAUCAUAUCCUCCAUUCAUGUCAGUCUAAAAGUUAACUCCCCAUUUACUGUAGUAAAUAUAUUACUGCGCCGUACAUCUUUUCUAACUCCACUCUUGAAUGGUUAAAGAAAAUUUAAUACAAGUUCUAUAUAGUAUAUACUAUUGAUUUUACGAUUAUAAGUUCUAUAUCCAUAUACAGAGGCGGAUUUACAGUAUAAAAUAUGGUUCACGUGAACCCGUGGUUCUCGGGUUAAACUAUAGAUAUGAUGUAUAUAAUUUGACAAAAAUAGGUAUAUAUAUUUGAUGGAAUCCAUGGUAAAAAAGAUGAAGUAGUUCACUAGUUUUGGUCUCUUAUUUCCAAUAGCCUUUAGGGGAUCAAAUUCCCAACCAACUUUUUUGUUUAAUUUUUUUUAAAAAAGUAAUGGUGAACCUAUCCUCUGGAAAUUCUAGAUCCGUCUCUGUCCAUAUACAUACAAAAAACAUUUUACACCGUCAGAUCAUGAAAAAAUAAUUGCGGGUAUUUAUUUAUAAAACAUUAAAUGAUAAUCUUUAAGAAAAAAGGAAGUUAUCUUCUUAAAAGGGUCUAAAAUAUUUACAUUUUUAGUACAUAUCCAAAUAUCAAAUAUUUCUCGUAACAUGAAAGUAAAGAGUACCCAUAGAGUAGAAGACAAUUAGUUGAUUUUACCUAAUGAUUGAAAAGCAGGGGAACCCUCUUUUCUCUAUUUAGUGAAGAGAUAUUUUUCCCAUUUUUUGCUUUUAAGGAUAUGUCCUAACGAUUAAUGAAAAACAAUUAUCAAUCUGCCUAAAUCUUAAUAGGAAAUUAUCAGUGAACGCAUAAACUAAUCUAAAUAGCACUAGUUGAAUUUUAUCUCAACCAAACAUAAAAUAAAUUUAUCUCAAAUUUAAUUUUAAAAUUAAUUAUUAUUUAUCCCUGCAAAGUUAAGAGUGUAUCUUUGGCUGUCCUUUUACCUAAACUCAACUCGUGAAAAACUGUUAUAACAAAUUAAAGUAGAGAGUACACAUAUAGUAGGGACAGGUGUACUGGGUUAACCCUUUUUACCAAGAAUACCUUUCCCUCAAUCUUCUCUCACUUCCUAUUUUCCUAUAAAUGGAGCCUUCUGCACUCCUACUCUUCAAUAGGUUAACUCCUUCAAAUAUCUAUUUCUCACAUAGCCCUAGCACCAUUGUCUUCCUUCAACAACAACCCCCCCCCCCAACCAAACCCCCCUCCCCCCAAACCCUAAUUUUUUUAUUUUUCUUGGUCCUGUCUGAGAAAUUAAAUGGGUACUGGAAAACGUAAAUUUAGGGUAAGGAGUAUAGAGGAAGUGGGCAAAAAAGGGUGACAAUUGUUGACAGAAGAUAGAGAGCACUAAUGAUGAUAUGCUAAGUAAAUGUAGGGGCAAAAGCAUCUCAAUUCAUUUGUGCUCUCUAUGCUUCUGUCAUCACCUUCGGCCAACUAUCCCUCUCUUCUCUUAACUUCAUUUAAUUUUCAUCUUUUCAUUCUAUUAUUUUCUUGAAAUUUAUUUCAUAUUUUGUAUAUGUAUUUUAUGUACAUAGUCAAAUUCUAUAUGUUUCUCAUCCCAUGACAUAUUUCUUUGAUCUGCUAGUAUAUAGGUUCUCAUUUUCUGGAAUUUCUCUAAGAUGAAAGCAAAAAUUCUAUAAAAAUGAAAGAUUUUGAAAUCUAUUUGCAUGAUUUACAUAAUUGAAGAGUCCUUUUGUUAGAAGUAAGAUCUGAAAGUGAAAGUUAUUGCUCAUGAUUUACCAUAAUUCAAUUGUUUAUAUAUUUUUCUCUCUAUAUUUCACCAGAUUAUUGACUUUCUAACUGUUUGAUUAAUUCUUGAAUUCUAUACUUGCUCUAUCUUGUGAGUUCACCUAUGCUUUUGCAGCUAUUUCUAGAUCCAAAAAUCCUCCUUUGCCAAGCUAUCAAAGGACACUUCUGAGGAAUAAGAUGUUAAUUAAGCUACAUUUACAUGUAAACCCUCUACUCUUUCUCACUUUUGUAAUAGUUCAAGUUAUAAUCAAAAUCUAAUGUUAUAUAUAUGUGUGUGUGAGAGAGAGAGAUAAGCCAGGAAGUUCAUCAAAUAGACUUAACAAACUAUUGUCUAUUAAAUUAAGCUUUUUACUUAUCUGCAUUUAGAGUUUAAUUAGAGAGACUAAUUAUCCACUACCUAUCGACUCUAUUAAAGUACUACUUUUUUAUGUCUUUGAUAGAUAUGUUUCCUAAAGUAAUAGGCACUACUGGUCCUAUGGCAUAUGAUAAUGGACUUUGUAAGGCUAAAACAUCAUGUGAUGUUUAAGGAUUUAAUGUAUUCACAUGUUUGUUAUAGGCAUCCAAACAUUAAAGGUUUAACCAAACAAAAAUCUGGUGAGACAAAUGAAAAGCCGAUCAAUCAGAGGAUUUGUUAAAUAUAUAGUCUUUAGAAAAGCAUGAAAGUAACAAAAUUAAAUGGAAAACAAUAAGGCUUAAUAUCUGGACAAUUAGUAAAUAGAGUAGAAGUAAAAGAAGCUAGGUACGUACACAUGAUAAUUUUAUGCUUAAUUAUCAUCACAUGUAAACUAUUUUCUUCAUAUUUUACAGCAAGUUACUUGUGUGUUGUUGAAAUAAAAAAGUACUCCUAAAGAAAAUUAAACUGAAGUAAGAAAUUAAAGAGCAUAAGACAUCAACAUAUUUCCAUCCAGAAGUUAAAAACAAUGACAAAUUUUCCCUUUCUGUCUAUUCAGAUAGUAAUGUCAAAGAAAACUGUGACUUAUAGAGUGGUUUAUUUAGCAAAAUAGAUGGGAAAAAGCUAACUAUUUGAACUUCUUUACCACUCAUAUAAGUGGAGCUAACACAGAAACUGGUUUGAGUUCUUUACUACUCAUAUAAUUGGGAGCUAAUAGAAGCUGGUUGGAGUUCUUUUACUACUCGUAUAAUUGGAGCUGAAAUACAAGUUGGUUUGACAGAAAGCAUAUAUAAUACUAAAUGUUUGAUUCUUGGGCAAAAUAGAAGCUGGUUCGAGUUCUUUACCACGCAUGAAGGUGUCCCGUGCAGCUAAACUAGUUAUACUCUUGGGCAAAGUUUACAUACAAAUUCCAUCCUUAAACCUGUGUUUUAGUUUAGUUUCUAUUGUUGCUUUUCAUUUUCUUGAGCUGAUGGUCUAUUGGAAACAGCCUCUUUACCCGUACAAGAUAGGGGUAAGGUCUGUGUACACACUACUCCUCUCCAAGUCUCUUUUUUCAUUUUAUUGGGAUAAAAGAUAGGUUAGUUGUUUUAUUUCUCAUCAUUCUAAUCAACACUAAAGUUGUGAUAUUAUGUACCUUUGUUCAUCUUUCCAACAAACCCCCAUAAUAUACAUAGGGGAGCUGUACAUUAUUGGAGCUAUAUAUAGUAAGGGACUCCUGAUGAAGUGAAUAUUAUUUCUGAAAGAAUACUUGGAUGGAGCAUUUCAAUUGAUAAUCCAAUUUUGACAAAUGAAGAACCCUCAUUACAUAUUGUCUUAAAACAGUUCAGCUCUUGCUGAAAUCCAGUGUUCAAUGUUUUUAGGGUUCAUUAAAUUCAACUCAAUAUUCAACCAAGUGCACCAUUCAAUCUUUUUGGAGCAGAGAUCCCAACAGAUAAUAUUAGACUAAUUCUAGAAAAUACGUGUAUAAAAUACCCAAUUUAAGGUUGAGACUAUGGUUCACGUGUCCCAUUUUCUGUUGGAGCAGGAGUCCCAAUAGAUAAUAUUAGACUAUCCCACUUUAUAGAUGUGUGCAAAGAUAGCUAUGAGAUAAAUAAGGUAAAUGCAGAAUUAAGCUGAGAGUCCUAUUACAUACAUAUAUAUGGUCAAAGCUAAAUGAAUUUGAAGCAUUUACUUUUCAAUAUCUAUAUAUACUAUUGGUGAUGAGUCUCUUGUGUACAUUUGGAUUGCACGUCACAAGCCGAUGUACUCUCACACUCUAUGUCAAUUAUUAAUUAGACAAAGAUAAUAUAUAUGUUUAAGAAAGCAUGAAAACUCAAGAUAUUCCAAUUGAAUGAUUAAAAAACUAGGGGGGAAAUUCUCCCAUGGAGAAUGAAGGAGAAGGUUAAAAUUGUAACAAAAAAACUAAUGUUUGCUAUACACCCUAUUGGGUAAAGAUUUGUUUUUGCACAGUGGCAUAGGAAAAAAUUUCAUUACACUAUUACUAGUAUUAUAUAACUUAAAUCCUAUUGAAUUCAGCCCACAUCAUCAUUGAGUGGAUAUUAAUUCUUUAUUAAUAAGAUGUGGAAAAAAUGCAUGUGUGUAUUAGAAAAAGAAUUCUUAUCGGCUAUUGGCCAAACAUUUGGGAGCAACUAGACAAAAUGGUCUUUCCAAGAUUAAUUAGAAGACUAAAUUUGACAUAUUCCUAAAGUUAUUAUUACCUCCCAACACAUAGCUUAUGAUUGGCUUGCUCUCCAUAUAUAUUGGAGAACAAAGUUUUGUCAAAUUGAAUUGUGUCACUUUAUUUUAUUUAUCUAUAAUAAAAGGGCAAAAGAGUCGUAAUCCUGUUAACCCUGCAUAAGUACCCCAUUCACAUAUCUAGUGAUUUCCAUUCUAAAUUCAGAUCCUUUAUGCUAUAUGGACAAUCGGAUGGUUUUGUGCUGCCAAUUGAUUAGGAUUUAUUCAUCACAUUCUAAUACCACGAGCUAGGUUCUUUAACUUUUUAUUUUAUUUUAUUUUUUAUUUUAUGGAGUAAUAUUUCCUUUCAACUUGUGUUGCUGUUUCUUUUUAUAUCUUUUUUAAGACGAUGGUCUAUUAAAAAUAGUCUCUUUACCCUGUACAAUAUAGGAAUAAAGUCUGUGUGCCCACUACCCUCUCGAUAUCCCACUUGUGGAAUUAUUUUGAGAUGUUGUUGUUGUUGGAGUAAUAUUUCCUUGUUUUGAUAGUAGUAUUAGAUUUGGGAAUAUUGUUGUCUGGUUUUGGUAAAAUUUUUAAAAUUUCUCCAUAUUUGAAAAGACAUGAGUACAAUAUGCGCCGACACAGCAAAUCAAACUAGUACAAGAGGGAGAAUUUCAUGUCCAUGUCAUGUGGUUAGCCAAUCAGUAGCCGAAAGCUGUAACCAUGGAUUAUGACAUCUCAUCGAAUAACAUUAUCACUAACCUUCAUUUGUAAUUGUCUCUAAAUAACGUACAUCUCCCUACUUAUCUUAUUAAUGAUCUCAUUUGAGGAUGAAUAUCAGAUACUCCAUGAUUCAAUUUAUAUAAACCUAUUUCUUUUUUGGUUCGUUUAAUUAGAAAAAAAUUCCUUUUUAAAAUUGGAUACAAUUUAACUUUAACUUUUCAUUUUAUCUUUGAUAUAGCCCAAACUUUACCGGGAAUGUUAUGAAAAUAUUCCCUUAGUAAGAAGCUUUUAUAAUCAAAUAGAUAUUAGUAUAUAUGACAUAUUUAAAAAAUCACAAGUUUCAAAUUUUUUUAUUUUUUAUUUCUCCAUCGGUAUUUGGUACCCACAUUGGGCCUCGACUAAUCCGGAUUGGAAGUCCCACAUUGGGGGUAAAGCGCUCCCUAAAAAAGGUGACUACAUACCCAAAGGUUCGAACUCGAGACCUCUGGUUAAGGAGGAAGGAGUACUUACCACUCCACCACAACCCUUGUAGGUAAGCUUCAAAAUUCUUACAGCUACAUAUGUUAUGACACAUUUAAUAUUACAAGUUUUAAAGCUUUGAAAAUUUCUGGUGAAAGAAGGAUCGUGCAUCUGUCUCUCUUAACCACGUUUUGUUUGAUGGCCGUCAAUGAAUAUAUUUUGCUUCAAGAUUUAUAUCUUACUUUAGUAUCUUAUUACAUCUUCCUAAACUGGAUGCAUGCAUAUGUUAAGUGUAGCCGUAAUAACUAGAUUCAAGAUUAUCACAAUUUUGAUCUAGAUUCACUUCUACUGUGUAAGUGUAGCCAGAGAAGUUUGUACUAAUAUCCUGUUAACGGCUGUGAUGUGACAGUAAGAAUAUAUAAUCUUGUCAAAACUUUAGCAUCGAGUCUUUGAUAUAUUAAAAUUAGAACUCGAGAAAAAAAGCUGUACCCAUUUCAAGGAAACAACUAAACACACAACACACGCAUACAGAUAAAGAAAAAAAAAAUGGAGGAAGAAUCUGCAUAAUUAUUUCAAGGAAGGGAAAGUUUCUUACCAGAUGAAGAGUGGUGAAAUUAACCUUCAGAAGGGAGAAAAAGCUUGGUUUGCUUAUUUUCAGUCAACAUUUACCAUUCAUCUUUUUUGUUCUUUUUCAUCUCCGCAAUGACAGCUGCUGAACAUAUUCUUGAUAAUAUUUGAGGUUAGAGCAGGCCGGUGAAGACGGAAAAAAGCAAAAGCCAAGUGAAAGUCUGAAAAACUCAAUUGAAAUGUCAGAAUCUAAAAAAUUGGCGGAAUGUUAGUCGGUCCAUUUGUGUGGACAGGAAUUUAUGUAGUGGCUGUCUUACUUUCAAGCUGUAACUAGUGAUUAAUAAAGUGAUAAAAUUUAUGAG